This is a long non-coding RNA of Pseudopipra pipra, 2706 nucleotides long. RefSeq lists it as uncharacterized. The record is from RefSeq and is a predicted model, not a curated record. Lineage: Eukaryota; Metazoa; Chordata; Aves; Passeriformes; Pipridae. The transcript has 2 exons.
UCAGUCUCAGCUGUUUCUACACGUGUAGGCCAGGUUCAUCUUGCAUCACUCCAAGCUUUCUGCCAUGCAAAUGCCCUGCAGCUACUGAGGUGACACCACAGAAGAGGUGGAGCACUAACACUGGAGUGGGCAGUGGCCUGGUUGCAAACAGUGUUCUAACAUUCUUGUAUUUUAGCUCCUUGCCUGGGAGCUCUUGUGUAGCUUAGUGGAAUUCAAGCAAAAUUAGACAACAGCUGCAGAAGGGACAUUUCCCACCCCUAUGUUGCAAUAAACCCCAUCAACAUGUGGGUAUCAUCCUAACAUGAUGCAGUGCAGCCCUUGAGGAAGAAGAGGAGUCCAUCAGCAGAAGUGUGGAAUAGCUCCCUUCCUGAAGACCCUCUGGCAUUGCAUAAUGCAGGCUGCAUGAUGGGUCUUAGCGUUUGUCUCUGUUGCACUACUGUGCUGGUGAGCUUAGGUCUUAGGUGGUCUUAAGAAGCAGCUUAGCAGUAGAAGCCGUCUCUGUGCUUUAUCACCCCAGCAUGACACCAUCUGGAAAAACAGCAGCAGAUGUCUGCUUGGUGAGGCUGAGGGAGAGAUUAAGGUGCUUACGGCCAAUGGGAGAGGUAGCAAGGGGAACUUUAGCCAUUGUGUUUCCAAGCAAGGUGCCUUGCACAAACAUGUGCCACCCGGGCAGAGGCAUCAGGAAAAGAGAGCUGAGAACAUCUCAUGUUCUCAUUACCCAGUGAUAUAAAUAUGUGAGAAAAGAGUGAGAAACCAUCUCCAGAAAUUGCUAUUUUGGUGAGAGACAAAUUGCAAAGGCAAUUGCUCAUACAGUUGUCCCUGCAAUCAAGACAGAAGGCAGCUGCAAGAGGUUUGGUGGGAUUUUUAAUGUGAAACCAAGCAGAGGAAGUGUGAAUAAAAACCUUGCAGAGAUGAGAUUUUGCUUAUUUACACAUAAUUAGGAGACUCUUGGCAAGGUGUGCCCUCCUAAGUAUUCCCCUAUCUUUCGCUGAGAUCUCUGACGCCAGCUUGCAAGAGCUGCAGUCUUCUGCACCUAACAAUGCAUUCAGUGACUCUAAGUGACAUUUAGGGACCACCAUCAACUUACAGAUGGAUCAGAUCCCUGGUGCACCCUUAGCGCACUUAUCUCCUCUUGGGAGAAUUAGAAUUAAGCAUCCUGGGGUCUUGCUUCCUCAUCCUGGCUCUCACCCUCUCCCAGUUUCAGUCCCUUUGAGGGACCCUGCCAGCAGGGCUCCUCCCCACCUUCUGCUUGGCUUUGCCUCCAUCCCAGUGACCACGUCAUCCCCCCAUAAAGAGGAGCCUGUGCAGGAGCCGGGGCUCAUGCUGUGCUGAGAGGACUCAUAAAGCUCCUUUUAACAUGUCCAGUACAAAGCUGAGCCUGUUCGGCUGCAGGUUGGGGGCUGCCGCCUGCCCUUCCUGCCUCUGCCAGGCACUGAGUCAUUGCCCCAACAUGGGGCUGCCAGCCCAGCACUGUCAAGAGGGCCAGGGCUGGUGGCCAAGGGGGAGAAACCUGCCCUGCUCACUGCUGCAACAGCCAAAAUGUGUGCCUCAAAGUAUUGCUUUUUCCCAGAGAUGCAAAUAGGAAAUAUUGUGGAAAAGACAUAAAUGGCAGCAGAGGAUAGUUGCAAACCAUCGGGGGAAAGAGAUAAGAGCCAUGAUGCUUGUUAUAACAGAAAGAGUUUUCCAGACAAAACACAGACUGUACCAUUCUAGAGAGAGUAAGGCUAUAGUAAUGUAAGUUAAGUACUAAGAGUAGAGUUAAGUUUGUGAUAAUGUUAUAUUGAUGUGUAGUAGAGAGAUUUUGAUUAUAUUUUAGUUUAUUGAAGAUUGAAUGUUGAUUAGAGUUUUUCAGUUGUUGUGAUAUGUUGACAUUUCACAGGAGCGAGGGGUGGAGUGUUGUAGUGGUUUGAAUCUUGUUUUCCCCCAGAGGCUAAGAAAAGUGGUAGACCCCAAGGGGUGGAAACACCUGGAAGUUUUGAAGUUCUGUCCAAUGGGCGCUCCUGCAAAAAUGUCAACAUUCCACAAGCUCACCGGAAGAGGAGAGUUGUAGUUUUGGUUGUUGAGGAGUGGUGGCCAUGUUGUAGAGCCAUGAGGAAGGGGCUCAGAGCCCCACAGGGGGGGCUUUGGCCCCCAACCCCCAGCGGGGGCCUGCGGGGACCUGGAACAGCAUAACGCUGAGUUAGGUGCCUGUAGUUAUGCCAGGAGAUGUUUUUCUCCAUGGGCGCAGAGCAGCAGCCGGCACUGACCAGAGAAACGGUGGCAGAGAGCCAGGACAGAUAAGAACUGAACCAAACAGCAAACGGCAUGCAGCACACAGAACUCCUGGAAGGAGACAGAGAGCCAAGAGAGAGCCAACAGCAGCAGAUGAGAGCAGAACUAGCUCUACAGACAGAGUUUGGGUCCACAGGUGAGGCCUUCACUUGGACCAAAGGAGAGCCAAGGGGCUUGGAGACCCCCUUGUGUGUAUUAAACAGAGAUCCAGCUACAACAACCCAGUAACUGCUGCAUGGAAGACAGAAGAGGAGCUGCUGCCCUAAAUGUGGAAGGGAUCUGUCCUUCUUUCCCUCCUGGACUUUUAUUUGGAGGGGAGAAGAGAUCUGAUCCAUUGUAAAUACUAUAUGUCAUGGUAGAGAUAGUUGUGAUUGUGUGUAUGAUGUAUUAUAAUAUUUAUUUGUACAGUCAUUGUAAUAUAUUCCCUUUCCCCCA